This 97-nucleotide microRNA precursor is filed under the name Equus caballus (horse). RNAcentral describes it as "mir-9058 microRNA precursor family". It matches the Rfam family "mir-9058 microRNA precursor family". The record is from Rfam by way of RNAcentral. Lineage: Eukaryota; Metazoa; Chordata; Mammalia; Perissodactyla; Equidae.
GUGGUUGCUGGGUGGGGUCUCUCUACCAGUGCUGUGUAGAGGCUUUUGCUGAGGCUGCUGUGAGACUGUAGAGUCUCCCCCUGGGCUGUGGAGCCGG